Molecule: non-coding RNA, 445 nt
Organism: Camellia sinensis
Lineage: Eukaryota; Viridiplantae; Streptophyta; Magnoliopsida; Ericales; Theaceae
Source: RefSeq, a predicted model, not a curated record
AUUAUGUCCGACGAGAACUUGAUCAUGGCAAAGCAAGAGGGCUUGCUAAAGAAAUUUAAACUCACCACAACUAUCAGCACAAGCAACAUGCAUCUGUUCGACCCAAAAGGCGUGAUUAAGAAAUAUGAAACCCCUGAACAGAUUCUUGAAGAAUUCUUCCACGAAUCAGAGGUCAUCUGUCAAACUUAGGUGUGAGGUUCACAUCUUAUCAUGGGAAUUUUAUGCUUAGGUCCACUGAUUUAUUAGCGCUUCCAGCUGUAGACUGUGAUAAAGCUUACGCAAUGCAGAUGGGUCUUGAAGAAACAUUAUUGACCACUCAGACUGUAUAUUUCCAAGUUGCUUUGUUAUACACUUCAUCUUCUGGAGAGAGGCGUAUUAGAGUGCAUACUGCAGCAGCACCAGUGGUUGCAGAUCUAGGAGAGAUGUAUCGGCAUGCUGAUACUGG